AUACGUAGGGGGCGAGCGUUGUCCGGAAUGAUUGGGCGUAAAGGGCGCGUAGGCGGCCCGGUAAGUCUGGAGUGAAAGCCCUGCUUUCAAGGUGGGAAUUGCUUUGGAUACUGCCGCACUUGAGUGCAGGAGAGGUUAUCGGAAUUCCCGGUGUAGCGGUGAAAUGCGUAGAGAUCGGGAGGAACGCCAGUGGCGAAGGCGGGUAACUGGACUGCAACUGACGCUGAGGCGCGAAAGUGUGGGGAGCAAACAGGAUUAGAUACCCUGGUAGUCCACACUGUAAACGAUGAAUGCUAGGUGUAAGAGGUAUCGACCCCUUUUGUGCCGGAGUCAACACAAUAAGCAUUCCGCCUGGGGAGUACGGCCGCAAGGUUGAAACUCAAAGGAAUUGACGGGG
This 397-nucleotide ribosomal RNA is filed under the name uncultured bacterium. RNAcentral describes it as "partial 16S ribosomal RNA". It matches the Rfam family "Bacterial small subunit ribosomal RNA", at positions 523 to 918 of the family's 1533-position model. The record is from RNAcentral.